GGCAGAUUCCUCUAUUCCUUCCACUCAUUAUAGUCUUUGGAAGUUCUUGCUUUCUCGCCCUUACUGAUCAGCUAUGGAACAGAUCAAGCACACCCAUGUUCAAGUAAGAGGACUAAGACUACAUGUGGCAGAGAUUGGCACUGGUACUAAGGUGGUGUUGUUCCUUCAUGGAUUCCCAGAAAUCUGGUAUACAUGGAGGCACCAGAUGGUUGCUGUUGCAGAAGCUGGCUACAGAGCAAUAGCUAUUGAUUUCAGGGGCUAUGGACUCUCUGAUCAGCCACCUGAGCCAGAGAAAGGGACCUUAAUGGACCUUGUUGAUGAUGUUGUUGCCCUUCUUGACACUCUUGGCAUCAGUAAGGUUAGUGGGCAUUCCACAAAAUUCCUUCUUUUCUCGAAUUUUUUGUUCACUGCACAAGUAGUAAUCUUGGUAAAAUUAGUGAUCAAUUGCCCAAGAUAUCUGGUUCUUGGAUCCAAUACAUGCAAAGGUCAUCUAGAGAACAUAUAUAGGUGCACACUGUCAUCACACUUGCCAGAUUUUGUAAAUUAAAUUAAAAAAUUUAGUAUAUGUGUGUUUAUCAUUAGUUUACAAAUUUCAUAAAUGGGUUUGCCAUGGGGUCAAUAUCUAAUCCACUUUGCAGAAAAUCUACCUGAUGUCGUCUAUGUUUUGGUAGCAGGUUUUUCUAGUUGGCAAGGAUUUUGGGGCUUUGCCAAUAAGCCUAUUAGCUGCCCUUCACCCGGACAGGGUGUCUGCUUUUGUAACUCUUGGUGUUCCUUUCAUGCUACCUGGUGCUAAUGCUGUCCAAAAUCAUCUCAUGCCAAAAGGUUUCUACAUAACAAGGUGGCAGGAGCCAGGGAGAGCUGAAGCAGAUUUUGGCCGGUUAGAUGUUAAGACAGUGAUAAGAAAUAUUUACAUUCUUUUCUCUGGGGUUGAGACACCAGUAGCAGGAGAUGACCAGGAGAUCAUGGACUUGGUUGAUCCUUCUACUCCUUUACCACCAUGGUUUUCUGAGGAAGAUCUAGCAGUUUAUGCAUCUCUUUAUGAGAAGUCCGGAUUUCGUUAUCCUUUGCAGGUUCCAUAUAGGAGCUUAGUAAUAGAUAGUGGAAUAACUUGUCCAAAAGUCAAAUGUCCAGCAUUGUUCAUCAUGGGUGAGAAGGACUACGUCCUGAAGUUUGUAGGUAUGGAGGAUUACAUAAGAAGUGGACAAGUGAAGAAUUUUGUGCCUGAAUUGAGUAUCUUAUUCUUGGAGGAAGGUAGUCAUUUUGUUCAUGAACAACUUCCAGAGCAAGUGAAUGCGAUUCUCAUCGACUUCCUCAACAAACAUAGUAAUUGAAGUUGAUGUUCUGUGAGCACCUCAAGUUUGGUAAUAGUUUCCAUUUGAGAAAAUAAAGUUCCCUUGUAUGCGUCUUUUGAGUUGCUUGAUGUUGAUGUAAUAUGUUUGGAGACAUGAAUUUCCCUUUUAUUUUUAUCUCUAAUGCUUAGUUAAACAACAUGAAAAUUGAUAAAAUGAUUAGUGUAGGGCUAACUUCCUGAGAAUAACAAUUUGAUUGAUCCUUCUACUCUACCUUCACACACUUGCAUAUAAAUUAUUGGAGGUAUAGGCGAAAUCUACAUCUAUUUAUCAAUAUGCAUGACACGAUCAGCAAGACGAUAAAGGUACGGUGGAGAGAUUUUCAACCUCCUAACAAAUGGCAUUAUUAUUCACCUCAAGUUCUUUUCAAUCAGAUCCUUUUGAUCCCAUGAUCUGCUGCGUAAGAGGGAAGGAUUAGGAACAUACUUCAAAUGGGACAAAGGCUUCACCAAAGCCGAAUACACCAUCAAACCAAAUUGCAAGAAAGCUUUGUUGAAGACGACAGCCACAAGAAAUUUGAAGGAGAUCAAGAAGGCAAUGGAUGUGUCAUGAAUAACUUUUUCCCCACCAAAUCGAAGAGCUUUGAUAUGAUUAGUUCCCCAAUGGUUAAAGAUUGCUGACAGCUUGUGCAUAAAUAAGACACUUUCCUAUUCAACAAACUGAAUUUCCACAUUCUGAUU
Molecule: unclassified non-coding RNA, 2029 nt
Filed under: Hevea brasiliensis (rubber tree)
Lineage: Eukaryota; Viridiplantae; Streptophyta; Magnoliopsida; Malpighiales; Euphorbiaceae
Source: RNAcentral